RNAcentral lists this ribosomal RNA (556 nucleotides) under Dacryopinax sphenocarpa. RNAcentral's name for it is "eukaryotic LSU rRNA". It matches the Rfam family "Eukaryotic large subunit ribosomal RNA", at positions 73 to 658 of the family's 3401-position model. Lineage: Eukaryota; Fungi; Basidiomycota; Dacrymycetes; Dacrymycetales; Dacrymycetaceae. The record is from RNAcentral.
GAUUCCCUAGUACUGCGAGUGAAGCGGGAAAAGCUCAAAUUUAUAAUCUGGCGCAAGCCCGAGUUGUAGUCUGUAGAAGCGUUUUCGGCCGUUGCCUUGGACAAGUCCCUUGGAACAGGGCGUCAUAGAGGGUGAGAAUCCCGUCCUUGCCAAGCUCCCAACGUCUUUGUGAUACGUCUUCCAAGAGUCGAGUUGUUUGGGAAUGCAGCUCAAAAUGGGUGGUAAAUUCCAUCUAAAGCUAAAUAUUGGCGAGAGACCGAUAGCGAACAAGUACCGUGAGGGAAAGAUGAAAAGAACUUUGAAAAGAGAGUUAAACAGUACGUGAAAUUGCUGAAAGGGAAGCGCUUGAAGUCAGUCGCGUUGGCAGGGACUCAGCCUUAACCGGUGCAUUUCCUUGUCGACGGGCCAACAUCGAUUUCGGCCGCGGAAUAAGGGCACGGGGAAUGUGGCAGCUUCGGCUGUGUUAUAGCCUCAUGUCGCACGCCGCGGACGGGAUCGAGGACCGCGGCUUUUGCCUAGGAUGUUGGCGUAAUGGCUUUAAGCGACCCGUCUUGAA